AUGAAUGGCAUGCAAUUUGACUGCACAAAUAGCAUAGAAUGAUGAUGAUAGAUGCAGUUUAUAAAAUGUUAUAUUUACACUGCUAUACUUUGUAUUUUAUGUAUUAUACAGUAUAGCUUGAGGUAUUAUGUUAUUCACUCAAUUCUGUAAUUAUUUUAUUUCAGACUUUCUCAAAACCAGAGCGUAGUAUUUAUGAGUUGCAGCCAACAGAGAAAAGUAACAAAAGGACCAAAAACUAACACUACAACUGAAUUGUUUAAAUCCGACAUCAAAGUUUCCAUUUGAUGUACAUGUAUAUUGCUUUAUAGCUUUGUGUUACAAAUUUGGUAAUACAAUUUCAGCG
RNAcentral lists this long non-coding RNA (343 nucleotides) under Mytilus galloprovincialis (Mediterranean mussel). The record is from RNAcentral. Lineage: Eukaryota; Metazoa; Mollusca; Bivalvia; Mytilida; Mytilidae.